UACGUAGGGGGCAAGCGUUGACCGGAUUCAUUGGGCGUAAAGAGCGUGUAGGCGGCCAGGUAGGUCGGUUGUGAAAACUGGAGGCUCAACCUUCAGAGGUCGACCGAAACCAUCUGGCUAGAGUCCGGGAGAGGAGAGUGGAAUUCCUGGUGUAGCGGUGAAAUGCGCAGAUAUCAGGAAGAACACCCGUGGUGAAAGCGGCUGUGUUGAACGGUACUGACGCUGAGACGCGAAAGCGUGGGGAGCGAACAGU
RNAcentral lists this ribosomal RNA (253 nucleotides) under uncultured bacterium. RNAcentral's name for it is "partial 16S ribosomal RNA". It matches the Rfam family "Bacterial small subunit ribosomal RNA", at positions 524 to 776 of the family's 1533-position model. The record is from RNAcentral.